UUUUACCUGUCACACGUAAAUCAUUUAAUUUGUUUUGUCUUUGGUUGUAUUAAAACUUCACAAGCCAAUCCGAAUAAAGUCUCAACGUGUAAAGGGCGGGACUAGUGCAGCAGGUUAGCGUGGGGAGUAGUGAGCACAUGUAGAGAAAGAAACCUGACCGGACUGAGAGCUAAGAGGAGGCAUCGUAGUGUGGGAAGCAGUUGAGUUUUAUCGUGAGGUCGACUACUCGUGGUCCUGAUUUAAACUUCUUUGUGACCUGCAAAAAGGUGAAUACGAUGUGUAUGCCUCCAUUGUGCUAUAUCUAACUGUUAUAGUAACGAAGAGUACUGGAUGUGUAACGCGGUUAGCGAAGUGCUAGUUAGCGGUAGCAUUCUGUGUUAAUGUGCCCGCAUAUCGUAGUUUUGUAUUGUGACUUAAGUUAACGCAAAGCUAAUGCUAGUUCGAUAUGAAAUAGUGUUUGAUAUUAUGGCUCAUUGGAUAAUAUGCAAAAAGGAGUUGGACGUUGGAGAGAGAGGGGUUUCCAGCAGAUGGCCCUGCUGUUUCUGUGUUUUCUUCCUUGUGACUUCGCCACCGCCAUUGCCCACGUGUGUGUUUGGAUUGCCACCGCCAUUGCCAUUAUCUUCGUGAGAAUAUCAUCCCCCAAUCCCUUUCUGCCCCUACUAAUUACACCCUGGAUUUCGUGAGUACUGACCAGGCGCGUCGUUAGCAAUUGAAAACAUCCGGGGCUUUAGCCCGGGGGGGAGCACCGUCCUGACUCCUGCGUGCUACGGUAUCUUAAUUAAUUAAUUAAUUAAUUAAUUAAUUAAUUAAUUAAUUAAUGUAUCGAUUAAUUAAUUAAGGGCGCCCCCAAUACAUAGGUCGCCUAUGCCGAGCGCCAGGGCAAAAAUAAGACAUUAGAAUAGCCUAUAUAGCCUGCGUGCACCUACCCGAUGUCAAGAAGCCAUCGCUGCUCCGACGGACCUUUCUCCCCCAGCCAGGCAACGGCAAUUAACUACAGCCGCCCUUCCUGGGUAACGCCACCACCAAUCCCUGGUCAUCCAUUGAAGCCAUCUCUCUCACUCUGUACAGUCACACUGUUGCCGCUUCAUUCUCAUUGUCUCAUAAUCUCAUUAUUAUGGCUGCUGUGGAUGCUUUAAAAAAUAAACAUUUUUCUCUUAGGUAAAAUCAAACCAGUGGGAUGUUAGAUUGAAAACCUCCAAAGCAAUGUAUUAAAAAUUGAAAGACAGUCCUA
Molecule: long non-coding RNA, 1231 nt
Organism: Gadus macrocephalus (Pacific cod)
Lineage: Eukaryota; Metazoa; Chordata; Actinopteri; Gadiformes; Gadidae
Exons: 2
Source: RefSeq, a predicted model, not a curated record